RNAcentral lists this ribosomal RNA (319 nucleotides) under uncultured eukaryote. Its description in RNAcentral is "partial 18S ribosomal RNA". It matches the Rfam family "Eukaryotic small subunit ribosomal RNA", at positions 1470 to 1796 of the family's 1831-position model. The record is from RNAcentral.
CCCUUAGAUGUUCUGGGCCGCACGCGUGCUACACUGAGUAAAUCAAUGGGUAAGGGAACACGAAAGUGCAACCUAAUCUUCAAAUUUGCUCGUGAUGGGGAUCGACGGUUGCAAUUUUCCGUCGUGAACGAGGAAUACCUUGUAGGCGCGUGUCAUCAUCACGCGCCGAAUACGUCCCUGCCCUUUGUACACACCGCCCGUCGCUCCUACCGAUUGAAUGCUCAGGUGAGCCAUUCGGACCUUCAUCAUGCCGGUUUCCGGUUUUGAUGAGGGAAAGUCUUGCGAACCUUAUCAUUUAGAGGAAGGAGAAGUCGUAACA